AAACCAGCACCUCAAGUGGUCAGGAUGAUUAUUGGGCCUAAAGCAUCCGUAGCCGGCUCUGUAAGUUUUCGGUUAAAUCCAUUAGCUCAACUAAUGGGCCGCCGAAAAUACUGUAGAACUAGGGAGUGGGAGAGGUAGACGGUAUUCGGUAGGAAGGGGUAAAAUCCUUUGAUCUAUUGAGGACCACCUGUGGCGAAGGCGGUCUACCAGAACACGUUCGACGGUGAGGGAUGAAAGCUGGGGGAGCAAACCGGAUUAGAAACCCCUGUAGUCC
This 274-nucleotide ribosomal RNA is filed under the name uncultured bacterium. RNAcentral describes it as "partial 16S ribosomal RNA". It matches the Rfam family "Archaeal small subunit ribosomal RNA", at positions 473 to 747 of the family's 1478-position model. The record is from RNAcentral.